Molecule: ribosomal RNA, 442 nt
Filed under: uncultured bacterium
Lineage: Bacteria
Description: partial 16S ribosomal RNA
Rfam family: Bacterial small subunit ribosomal RNA
Source: RNAcentral
CUACGGGUUGCAGCAGUGGGGAAUAUUGGGCAAUGGGCGAAAGCCUGACCCAGCAACGCCGCGUGAUUGAAGAAGGUCUUCGGAUUGUAAAAAUCUGUCCUUGGGGACGAAAAAAAUGACGGUACCCAAGGAGGAAGCCCCGGCUAACUACGUGCCAGCAGCCGCGGUAAUACGUAGGGGGCGAGCGUUGUCCGGAAUUACUGGGCGUAAAGGGUGCGCAGGCGGCGCUUUAAGUCAGAUGUGAAAUACCCAGGCUUAACCUGGGGGGUGCAUUUGAAACUGGAGUGCUUGAGUGCAGGAGAGGAAAGUGGAAUUCCUAGUGUAGCGGUGAAAUGCGUAGAUAUUAGGAGGAACACCAGUGGCGAAGGCGACUUUCUGGACUGUAACUGACGCUGAGGCACGAAAGCGUGGGGAGCAAACAGGAUUAGAUACCCGAGUAGUC